Poecilia latipinna (sailfin molly) is the source of this 955-nucleotide long non-coding RNA. RefSeq lists it as uncharacterized. The record is from RefSeq and is a predicted model, not a curated record. The transcript has 5 exons. Lineage: Eukaryota; Metazoa; Chordata; Actinopteri; Cyprinodontiformes; Poeciliidae.
CAGUCCAGAAGCAGCUGCUGUGAUGUUCAACACUUAACCAGCUCUGAAGCUGCAUGAGUGAAAGAGGCGGCAGGAUCUGAAGAUAAUAAUGAAGAAACGGCAGCUCUGCUCCAUCAGUCAGUGUAACUUUCAGUGUUGACUGCAGAUUCAGAGCUUUGAGGAAAAAUAUCUGAGUUAACACGAUGAUGUCAAACUUACUGUGCUUCCUUGCACAGGUUAGGAUAUUUGAGAAGCAGAAGAAGAGCUUCUGGAACAACCAACAGGAAGGCAGCAACUGGAUGCUGCUCCUCUGAGACGGGAGCAUCAGGGCUGCAAUCUAAACAUACUGUGCUGCAGGAUGAAAAGCGGCAGAGAGGAGGAAGUCGGAGGAGCUGAAGGCUCUGACUUCUCCAGGCAAAUCUGCUGCAAAGACACGAGCAAAUUUAAUCACGAAGGAUCAUUCAUUGUUGCUUUUUAUGACUCUUUAAAUAAAAGAAAUUUUAAUGCUAUGAACCUAGAGCAUCGUUGAACAUAUUUAAAAGCAUAACAAUGAACUUAGUAGACCAAAUGACAUGCUUGUUUUUCUGGAAAAUGUUUUGUACGAAUAUCAGAGAAAUGAAAAGAAAUCUGUUGAUGCGUCACCAACCUGCAAGGUUGUGCAGAGUAUUAUUAUUUUUUUAUAUUUAACUUCUUUAAUUUUCUGUUUCUUUUAAAUCCAGCUUGAAGAAGAAAAUAAUAGCAGAUAAGUAUGAGUUUAAUGUUGCUCAAAUCAAUAUCACAAGUACUUUCUGUUAAAUGUUGAGAUCCACAUCACAUCUAUUCCUCUUGUGUUUACUUAGAGGUGAAAAUCUGAAACCUAUUUUUUUUUUAUUUUCAUUGUGUACUGAUGAUGAACUUUAGAAUCUGUGCUUUCAUUGAGAGAUCAUGUUUUUAACAUAAAAAGGAAGUUCACACAUUAAAAAAGUGUAUUCUUCAU